UACGGAGGGUGCAAGCGUUAUCCGGAUUCACUGGGUUUAAAGGGUGCGUAGGAGGGCAGGUAAGUCAGUGGUGAAAUCUCCGAGCUUAACUUGGAAACUGCCGUUGAUACUAUCUGUCUUGAAUAUUGUGGAGGUGAGCGGAAUAUGUCAUGUAGCGGUGAAAUGCUUAGAUAUGACAUAGAACACCAAUUGCGAAGGCAGCUGGCUACACAAAUAUUGACACUGAGGCACGAAAGCGUGGGGAUCAAACAGG
RNAcentral lists this ribosomal RNA (253 nucleotides) under uncultured bacterium. RNAcentral's name for it is "partial 16S ribosomal RNA". It matches the Rfam family "Bacterial small subunit ribosomal RNA", at positions 524 to 776 of the family's 1533-position model. The record is from RNAcentral.